UACGUAGGGUGCGAGCGUUGUCCGGAAUUAUUGGGCGUAAAGGGCUCGUAGGCGGUUUGUCGCGUCGGGAGUGAAAACCACGAGCUUAACUCAUGGCUUGCUUUCGAUACGGGCAGACUAGAGGUAUGCAGGGGAGAACGGAAUUCCUGGUGUAGCGGUGAAAUGCGCAGAUAUCAGGAGGAACACCGGUGGCGAAGGCGGGUCUCUGGGCAACAACUGACGCUGAGGAGCGAAAGCGUGGGGAGCGAACAGG
This 253-nucleotide ribosomal RNA is filed under the name uncultured bacterium. Its description in RNAcentral is "partial 16S ribosomal RNA". It matches the Rfam family "Bacterial small subunit ribosomal RNA", at positions 524 to 776 of the family's 1533-position model. The record is from RNAcentral.